Molecule: ribosomal RNA, 327 nt
Filed under: uncultured bacterium
Lineage: Bacteria
Description: partial 16S ribosomal RNA
Rfam family: Bacterial small subunit ribosomal RNA
Source: RNAcentral
GGGGAAUAUUGGACAAUGGGGGCAACCCUGAUCCAGCAAUGCCGCGUGUGUGAAGAAGGUCUUCGGAUUGUAAAGCACUUUCGACGGGGACGAUGAUGACGGUACCCGUAGAAGAAGCCCCGGCUAACUUCGUGCCAGCAGCCGCGGUAAUACGAAGGGGGCUAGCGUUGCUCGGAAUGACUGGGCGUAAAGGGCGUGUAGGCGGUUUACACAGUCAGAUGUGAAAUCCCCGGGCUUAACCUGGGAGCUGCAUUUGAUACGUGUAGACUAGAGUGUGGGAGAGGGUUGUGGAAUUCCCAGUGUAGAGGUGAAAUUCGUAGAUAUUGG